Molecule: small RNA, 229 nt
Filed under: Scrippsiella trochoidea
Lineage: Eukaryota; Dinophyceae; Peridiniales; Peridiniaceae
Description: partial Betaproteobacteria transfer-messenger RNA
Source: RNAcentral
UUCUACCUGCGGGCCGUGCUCGGGAGCACAGCCUACGACGCAGGUUCGGACAUCGUCGACUACUUCCACGGCUACUUGAACUACCAGGGUGAGCACCACGCCUUCCCGGACCUCUCUCCCUUGCAUUACCAGCGCUUGCACCCUCGCUUCAAGCAGGUGUGCGCAGCGCAUGGUGUGCCGUACGUGCAGGAGAGCGUGUGGCUGCGUGUUAAGAAGACAGUGGACAUCA